GACGAACGCUGGCGGCGUGCUUAACACAUGCAAGUCGAACGGAAAGGCCCUGCUUUUGUGGGGUGCUCGAGUGGCGAACGGGUGAGUAACACGUGAGUAACCUGCCCUUGACUUUGGGAUAACUUCAGGAAACUGGGGCUAAUACCGGAUAGGAGCUCCUGCUGCAUGGUGGGGGUUGGAAAGUUUCGGCGGUUGGGGAUGGACUCGCGGCUUAUCAGCUGGUUGGUGGGGUAGUGGCUUACCAAGGCUUUGACGGGUAGCCGGCCUGAGAGGGUGACCGGCCACAUUGGGACUGAGAUACGGUCCAGACUCCUACGGGAGGCAGCAGUGGGGAAUAUUGCACAAUGGGCGGAAGCCUGAUGCAGCAACGCCGCGUGCGGGAUGACGGCCUUCGGGUUGUAAACCGCUUUCGCCUGUGACGAAGCGUGAGUGACGGUAAUGGGUAAAGAAGCACCGGCUAACUACGUG
Molecule: ribosomal RNA, 468 nt
Filed under: uncultured bacterium
Lineage: Bacteria
Description: partial 16S ribosomal RNA
Rfam family: Bacterial small subunit ribosomal RNA
Source: RNAcentral